AAACGGAGAGCCGGAAAAAAAUAUCGCAGACUUAAGGAGAACAUGCAAAAACUUUUCACAUCUGAGGCAAGAAUCAAACCCAGGUCUCUAGGAUAUGUUUCUGAGCAAAAUCCACAAGCAGCUGCGCCACUAUGGCACCCUAAAGGUAGGAGAUAACUGGAGUACCCACAGGAGGAGACACAGACAAACAUGAAAAACAUCUCACAAAGACCAGUGGCAAGAAUCAAACCCAGUUUAGGGAAGGCUCUUUCCUUUUCCAGCAUGAAUGUGCACAAAGUAAAGUUUAUAAAGACA
Trichomycterus rosablanca is the source of this 294-nucleotide long non-coding RNA. RefSeq lists it as uncharacterized. The transcript has 3 exons. Lineage: Eukaryota; Metazoa; Chordata; Actinopteri; Siluriformes; Trichomycteridae. The record is from RefSeq and is a predicted model, not a curated record.